This is a long non-coding RNA of Eriocheir sinensis (Chinese mitten crab), 209 nucleotides long. RefSeq lists it as uncharacterized. The transcript has 3 exons. Lineage: Eukaryota; Metazoa; Arthropoda; Malacostraca; Decapoda; Varunidae. The record is from RefSeq and is a predicted model, not a curated record.
UUCCUUUCCAUUUAAUGUUGUGUGAUAUGUUUCCUUUCCAUUUAAUGUUGUGUGAUAUGUUUCCUUUCCAGGUGAAGUUGUGUGAUAUGUUUCCUUUCCAGGUAAUGUUGUGUGAUAUGUUUCCUUCCCAGGUAAUGUUGUGUGAUAUGUUUCCUUCCCAGGUAAUGUUGUGUGAUAUGUUUCCUUUCCAGGUAAUGUGGUGUGAUAUG